RNAcentral lists this ribosomal RNA (494 nucleotides) under uncultured bacterium. RNAcentral's name for it is "partial 16S ribosomal RNA". It matches the Rfam family "Bacterial small subunit ribosomal RNA", at positions 28 to 507 of the family's 1533-position model. The record is from RNAcentral.
GACGAACGCUGGCGGCGUGCCUAAUACAUGCAAGUAGAACGCUGAAGGAGGAGCUUGCUUCUCUGGAUGAGUUGUGAACGGGUGAGUAACGCGUAGGUAACCUGCCUGGUAGCGGGGGAUAACUAUUGGAAACGAUAGCUAAUACCGCAUAAGAGUAGAUGUUGCAUGACAUUUGCUUAAAAGGUGCAAUUGCAUCACUACCAGAUGGACCUGCGUUGUAUUAGCUAGUUGGUGAGGUAACGGCUCACCAAGGCAACGAUACAUAGCCGACCUGAGAGGGUGAUCGGCCACACUGGGACUGAGACACGGCCCAGACUCCUACGGGAGGCAGCAGUAGGGAAUCUUCGGCAAUGGACGGAAGUCUGACCGAGCAACGCCGCGUGAGUGAAGAAGGUUUUCGGAUCGUAAGCUCUGUUGUAAGAGAAGAACGAGUGUGAGAGUGGAAAGUUCACACUGUGACGGUAUCUUACCAGAAAGGGACGGCUAACUACGUG